GGUAGGAUGGCUGAGUAAAGCGGUAGGUUGUAGCCCUGAAGACAGAGGUUUAAUCCCUCUUCCUAUCA
This 68-nucleotide transfer RNA is filed under the name Cromeria occidentalis. Its description in RNAcentral is "tRNA-Tyr". It matches the Rfam family "tRNA". Rfam says of the family: Transfer RNA (tRNA) molecules are approximately 80 nucleotides in length. Their secondary structure includes four short double-helical elements and three loops (D, anti-codon, and T loops). The record is from RNAcentral. Lineage: Eukaryota; Metazoa; Chordata; Actinopteri; Gonorynchiformes; Kneriidae.